GCUCCCUGAUGUUAGCGGCGGACGGGUGAGUAACACGUGGGUAACCUGCCUGUAAGACUGGGAUAACUCCGGGAAACCGGGGCUAAUACCGGAUGGUUGUUUGAACCGCAUGGUUCAAACAUAAAAGGUGGCUUCGGCUACCACUUACAGAUGGACCCGCGGCGCAUUAGCUAGUUGGUGAGGUAACGGCUCACCAAGGCAACGAUGCGUAGCCGACCUGAGAGGGUGAUCGGCCACACUGGGACUGAGACACGGCCCAGACUCCUACGGGAGGCAGCAGUAGGGAAUCUUCCGCAAUGGACGAAAGUCUGACGGAGCAACGCCGCGUGAGUGAUGAAGGUUUUCGGAUCGUAAAGCUCUGUUGUUAGGGAAGAACAAGUACCGUUCGAAUAGGGCGGUACCUUGACGGUACCUAACCAGAAAGCCACGGCUAACUACGUGCCAGCAGCCGCGGUAAUACGUAGGUGGCAAGCGUUGUCCGGAAUUAUUGGGCGUAAAGGGCUCGCAGGCGGUUUCUUAAGUCUGAUGUGAAAGCCCCCGGCUCAACCGGGGAGGGUCAUUGGAAACUGGGGAACUUGAGUGCAGAAGAGGAGAGUGGAAUUCCACGUGUAGCGGUGAAAUGCGUAGAGAUGUGGAGGAACACCAGUGGCGAAGGCGACUCUCUGGUCUGUAACUGACGCUGAGGAGCGAAAGCGUGGGG
Molecule: ribosomal RNA, 700 nt
Filed under: Bacillus subtilis
Lineage: Bacteria; Bacillati; Bacillota; Bacilli; Caryophanales; Bacillaceae
Description: bacterial SSU rRNA
Rfam family: Bacterial small subunit ribosomal RNA
Source: RNAcentral